RNAcentral lists this ribosomal RNA (414 nucleotides) under Triticum aestivum (bread wheat). RNAcentral's name for it is "partial small subunit ribosomal RNA". The record is from RNAcentral. Lineage: Eukaryota; Viridiplantae; Streptophyta; Magnoliopsida; Poales; Poaceae.
GGGUCUGCAGCUGCUGUCUGCCGGGGUGAUCAAGGAAACUACCUGGGUAGCUCUGCUCUUGUCAUCUUUGGCGUUUGCGACCCCACAAUUCUGGAGGUGAUUGCAUGUUGGGAGGCAUUAGCACUAGCAGAGGAUCUUAAUUUGCAAAAUUUCAUCGUUGCUUCGGACUGCAAGCAAGUUGUCUCAGACAUUUCAAAGAGGGUCGAAGGCCCGUAUGGCGCUAUCAUUAGUGAAAUAAAACUCAAAGCUACUCUGUUUAAUUGUAAUUUUGGUCUCGAGGGUCGUGUUGUUAACUAUGAAGCACAUAGACUAGCUAGAUUUGCUCUUUCUCAGGGUCCAGGACGCCACUUUUGGUUUGGUAAUCCCCAUGACCCCUCUUGUAUCUCACUGCAUGUGGAUUUUGCUGAUGAAUAA